Molecule: long non-coding RNA, 455 nt
Organism: Drosophila ficusphila
Lineage: Eukaryota; Metazoa; Arthropoda; Insecta; Diptera; Drosophilidae
Exons: 2
Source: RefSeq, a predicted model, not a curated record
UGACCUUUGAUCCAAAACUCAAUUUGUUAAGCAACAUAUUUUUAUUCCUUUAAAAAUAAAUGAGUACAUGACAAAAUUUGAAACAGUUAAUUAGCUUUUUUUUAAGAAUAUGGCUACUGCCAAAGUCGUUAUCGUCCGAACAACAGUUGCGAAACAAAGAGUUUCAAGAGUUAGCAUAUCGCGAACAGUGAAAUUGGUGAAGAGAAGACCCAGACCUAUAGAAUUAAUUGCUGCAGAAAUGCAAGACGAAGAUGAUUAAAUUGAUAAAGUGGUUGCUUCUUAAAGAGAAUAAUUUUACUUGAAGUGAUUAUUUGUGCAAUGUAUGUGACAUUAAAAUUUUUAUAAAUUUAUCGUGGCGGACUGUUUAAGAAAGCAAACAUUUUUGUUAUAUUUUAUAUAUACAAAAUAUGUAGUUAUGAUACAAAAUAAACUUUCUCAAGAAUUCUUAAGUAAAA